RNAcentral lists this non-coding RNA (23 nucleotides) under Cricetulus griseus (Chinese hamster). The record is from RNAcentral. Lineage: Eukaryota; Metazoa; Chordata; Mammalia; Rodentia; Cricetidae.
UCUCACUGAUUACUUGAUGACAG